Long non-coding RNA from Acromyrmex echinatior (Panamanian leafcutter ant), 1740 nucleotides. RefSeq lists it as uncharacterized. The record is from RefSeq and is a predicted model, not a curated record. Lineage: Eukaryota; Metazoa; Arthropoda; Insecta; Hymenoptera; Formicidae.
CUUCUCUUUUUUACAAAAUAUAGUAAUACAUUACCACAAAUUGUCACUUAUAAUUUUCACUCAUAGAAUACGUAGAACCAAACACAGUUCACGAAUAAUCAAUGUGUUUUCUAGUUUUCUGGUACACUUUAUUCAAAUUAAGCAUUCACCGCGCACGCGUAUCUGAUUGCAUGCGCAUUACAAUCUACGAUCAUUAUCUCUCCUUGUCAAUCUUCUCGGCUUCAGCCGAAUGUACGUACAGUCGGAGUCUAAAAGGUUGAAACGCUUUUUUAUAAAUGAUUUUCGGAACGUAGCAAAAUUGUCAGAAUGCGAACCACUGCUUGCAUAGCGAUUAGGAUAGCUGUCAACGUGAUGAUAGAAUCAAAACAUAGUGAAGAAAUGCAUUUUGUGAGCCGCGAAAGUUUAAGAUUCCAAAUGGAUACCAAAAUUAGGAUAAGUAUAAAAGAAUAAGUUAAAUCCAUAAUAAGAAUAAGUUAGAUGAUGCAUUUUGUACUCAUAAAAUAAAAUUUCUUUUCUUUUUUUUGCAGUUGUGCAAAUGGCAGAAGAAUUUAAUGCUCGGAAUCAUGGCAAAGUUCUUUCUCAAAGGAAAGAAGAGCAUGAUAUGGAUUAAUGCGACAAAGAGAAAUAGGCUAUAGAAGGCUAUAUAAAUCCUCGACUGAUCAGGGCGACCACAUUGUAUUACGGCUGAGGAAGACAUCUGGUUAUCUUAGUGCAGGAGACUGAAUUUCGCACAGCGCGGCAAGCGAUAGUGGAAGCUAAUAUUAAUAUUAGUAUAUUAUUAAUAAUAAUUGUAGUCUAAAAACUGUGAGAUGUAGAUGAAGGAAAAUAGAUAUUAUUUGCCGGCACAAAAUGAGCGAUUAACAGAAGGUCACAAGAAGCAACGGAUAGUUUUGACCUUGAACCUUCAGUAUGGGAGGACGAAUGGAGAAAUAUCAUUUUUUCUGAUGAAAAGAUAUUUUUUACGGGUGUAUCAGGGCGCGUAUUACUGUGGAGAACGAGAGGAACGAGGUACUCAGAUAAGAAUAUUCAUUUCCGCCAACGAUCUAGCCGCAUCAUAUUGGCAUUUUUGAGACAUAUGUCUUCAUAUGACCAUUAGUGCGUACCACAUGAUGUGCGUAUCGCUCAUGAACAGUGAGGAAUCCACACAUCCACAUCUUGUUCGAUGUGAUGCUGCUAUACAUCGUAGAGACAUUUCUUGAUCUAUCGUCCGUUUCUUUCGUUUAGGAUAAUUCAGAAAUGCAUCGAGUGAGAGUUGUUCAGAAUUGACUGACUAUGCAACCCAAUCUUAAGACGUUGGAUUGGCCAAUCAAAUCCCCAGAUUUAAAUGUGAUAGAAGAUCUUUGGAGUACAAGAGUGGAAUUCGCAAAUGGUGAGAACACGCGAGGCACUCGAGGCACACGUAAUUAAUGUAUGGGAGGCUUUUCGCGCGAGACCCGUGUUAUUCCAAAACUUAGUUACAUCUAUGUCCUAAAAAUUAAAUGCUGUGAUAAAGAACCAUGGAAGUGUCACACGAUAUUAACCGUAUGUGAUCUUCCAUGGUUAAUAUAUGUAUAGAUGACAUUUGAUAUUGAAUGAUUAUAAACAAUUCUCAAAGACCCUCACUUAGCUCCGUAAGAAUAUACAAAAUACCUUGUUCCUGCGGGCAAGUAUAUAUUGGAGAAACUGGGAAAAUGGUUAACUUAUGGAUAAAGGAAUACCAAUGUGAUGUCAGGCUAAAACACGUCACGCAAUCAGCAUUAU